RNAcentral lists this ribosomal RNA (253 nucleotides) under uncultured bacterium. RNAcentral describes it as "partial 16S ribosomal RNA". It matches the Rfam family "Bacterial small subunit ribosomal RNA", at positions 524 to 776 of the family's 1533-position model. The record is from RNAcentral.
UACGAGGGGGGCGAGCGUUGUUCGGAAUUAUUGGGCGUAAAGGGCGCGUAGGCGGUGCGGUAAGUCACCUGUGAAAUCUCCGGGCUUAACUCGGAAAGGUCAACUGAUACUGCGCGGCUAGAGUGCGGAAGGGGCAACUGGAAUUCUCGGUGUAGCGGUGAAAUGCGUAGAUAUCGAGAGGAACACCUGCGGCGAAGGCGGGUUGCUGGGCCGACACUGACGCUGAGGCGCGAAAGCCAGGGGAGCGAACGGG